Molecule: unclassified non-coding RNA, 331 nt
Filed under: soil metagenome
Description: partial contains 5.8S ribosomal RNA, internal transcribed spacer 2, and large subunit ribosomal RNA
Rfam family: 5.8S ribosomal RNA (bases 3-120)
Source: RNAcentral
GCUGAAGAACGCAGCGAAAUGCGAUAAGUAAUGUGAAUUGCAGAAUUCAGUGAAUCAUCGAAUCUUUGAACGCACAUUGCGCCCCCUGGUAUUCCGGGGGGCAUGCCUGUUCGAGCGUCAUUUCACCACUCAAGCCUCGCUUGGUAUUGGGCAACGCGGUCCGCCGCGUGCCUCAAAUCGACCGGCUGGGUCUUCUGUCCCCUAAGCGUUGUGGAAACUAUUCGCUAAAGGGUGUUCGGGAGGCUACGCCGUAAAACAACCCCAUUUCUAAGGUUGACCUCGGAUCAGGUAGGGAUACCCGCUGAACUUAAGCAUAUCAAUAAGCGGAGGA